Molecule: ribosomal RNA, 439 nt
Filed under: uncultured bacterium
Lineage: Bacteria
Description: bacterial SSU rRNA
Rfam family: Bacterial small subunit ribosomal RNA
Source: RNAcentral
AACGCGAAGAACCUUACCUACCCUUGACAUCCUGGGAAUCUUGUAGAGAUAUGAGAGUGCCUUCGGGAGCCUAGAGACAGGUGCUGCAUGGCUGUCGUCAGCUCGUGUCGUGAGAUGUUGGGUUAAGUCCCGUAACGAGCGCAACCCCUAUUGCUAGUUGCCAUCAUUAAGUUGGGUACUCUAGUGAGACUGCUGGUGAUAAACCGGAGGAAGGUGGGGAUGACGUCAAGUCAUCAUGGCCUUUAUGGGUAGGGCUACACACGUGCUACAAUGGACGGUACAGAGGGUUGCGAAGCCGCGAGGUGAAGCUAAAUCUCACAAAGCCGUUCGUAGUCCGGAUUGGAGUCUGGAACUCGACUCCAUGAAGUUGGAAUCGCUAGUAAUCGCGGAUCAGAACGCCGCGGUGAAUACGUUCCCGGGCCUUGUACACACCGAUAGC